Patiria miniata (bat star) is the source of this 1498-nucleotide long non-coding RNA. RefSeq lists it as uncharacterized. The record is from RefSeq and is a predicted model, not a curated record. The transcript has 4 exons. Lineage: Eukaryota; Metazoa; Echinodermata; Asteroidea; Valvatida; Asterinidae.
AUACGGUGAUCACCUUCACCACUUCGGCAUCCAUCCCAAUUAUAGCAAGUAGUGUGGACACGCUGUACAGAUGUCAAGCAUACGGGGAGGCUCUGGGCGCCAGGAAUGGUAGCCACGUGACGGUCACAGCAUAUACCCUUCAAACAACACAUUUGACAUCAAUUCAAUCUACCACAGCUGCAACGGUUGUGCCUACUGAGAUGGGCUUUACAUUUGCGGUGAAGGACGCUCGAGAUAGCUCACAGAAUGCCGUGAUUGGGCUCACAGUUGCUUUUUGCUUGUCAUUGGCUGCCAUCGUUGGUUUGGUUAUUGCUGUCUGCAAGAUGAGGAAGCCUGGACAAACGAAUGGAAUACAGUUGCCGGCGGACAACAACACGGAUUGCGACACCACGGACCCACUGAACGAAGAGAGUGUAACUUGAUAUUACCAAUUAACAAGCCAGUACGUAUGAAUAUUGCAAUCUGAAUGACAGAAGUUGAAAUUCACCACAUAUUGUUCCAUGGUGCCCACGACCGUCCGUUUUGAACCGCGCCACCAUAUAGGACACCAUUAUAACCGCCAGAGGGGCACUUAAUUUGUUGGCCUGGAAAAAUCGCCCCCCCCCCCUCUGCCUCCGGCUCCGCAUUCCUUCAAGACAUGUGCUGGGAUAUAUUGGCAUGCACGCUACCGUUUGUCUCUUUAUAUUUCCAAGGAGAUCCCGAAAAUCCGUCAUUAUUUUGGACAGUAAAGCGGGGGAGGGAGAGAUGUUUCCUAAAACAUUCCAUGGAGAAUUGCACCCGACUGUUGUACCUGGUAACUUUGAUACCUUUUGUAGCUUUUAACUAAGUUGUACCUGGUAACUUAUGUACCUGGUAACUUUUGUACCUUGUAACUUUUGUGCCAUACCUUUUGCACCUAUUUUUUUUACCUCGUAACUUUUGUACCAUGCAACUUUUAUACAUUUUGUAUCUAUCAACGUUUUUAACCUUGUACUGUUUGUACCACGCAACUUUUAUACCUUUUGUAUCUAUCAACGUUUUUAACCUCGUACUUUUUGUAUCACGCAACUUUUAUACCUUUUGUACCCGGUAUUAAACUUUUUUACCUCGUAACAUUUGUACCACGUAACAUUUAUACCUUUUGUACCUAUUAACGUUUUAUACCUCUUAACAUUUGUACCACGCAACUUUGAUACAUUUUGUACCUAGUAAUUUGUUUUCCCCCGUAGUAACGUUUGUACCACGUAGCCUUUUACGUGCAAUUGGGCGCUCUACAACAAUGCAACCCUUGCUAUCGAUCGCUGAGAUCUCACCAGGCUCCAGGUUUGAGUUAAUGUUGUCCGAAUUACUGAGGUCAAUCAAUAGUUAGUUCACUUACUGUUUGGGCGUUUCUUGUUCAGAAAAAGUGAUUGCAAUCCAUCACGAAAUUGGAAUUUUGUGUCAUUGCCUCUUAUUUUGUCUGUCCUUUCAGGCCAAGUAAAAACAAUUAACCACUUUUUCAUGCCCGCCCGCUCCAUUG